ACCUCUAAAAUGUACUCACCCUGACCUCCAGUGUGUAACCUGUAGGUGUGGCUAGUAUUUCAGCAUUAAGCAAGCUCUGCUUUGUAAACUUGUCACAAUGACAUUCAGAACACGAGCACAUCAGCCCGGUCGCUCACAGCUCUAUGAAAUAUGUUCUGUCGGAUUUUGACAUGGAACAUGGGUGUGUGCCUUCUGACGUCAAUAUAUAUAUAUAUAUUUCACAAAUGCAUGCUGUUUAUCGUCUGCAUAGAGAUAGAGUAGCAUAGAGACCCCUCCCGGUGUCAAAUAGAGUAUCCAGGAAUUAAUGUUGCGUAUCAAUCACCAGGGGUUUUAUAAUCCGAUUUUGCGCUGCUGACGUAGGCUAUUCAAGUUAAAAAAAAUGUUUUUUUUUACAUCGUACCGCAGUGUCUGUAAAAUUCCUUUAAUGUCGUGUCCACCAAUUGAAUUCAUCUAAGCCUUUCUCGCCAGCCUUCCUCCCCAAUACCCCUUCUCUAUCGCUCUAUUUUUAGAGCGCACUGUAAUCCCUCCCCCUCUCCAUUUUCCUCCCUCUCCAGCUCUAUUUACCUAUUUUAUGGCACGCAGUCAAAGGCAGAGAGCAAGCUCUGUUCAAAUCAAAUCACGUUUUUUUGUCACAUGCGCCGGAUAGAACUUUACCAUGAAAUGCUUACUUAUGAGCCCUUUCCCAACGAUGCAGAGUAAUAAAAAAAACCCACAAGGAAUAAAAUACACAAGAAUGAAGCUAUAUACAGGGAGUACCAGUAGUAUAUCAAUGAGGCAGAUGAAAAUGCGCAGCGCUCCGUUUUUAGGUCAGUGGGACACGGAAUGGCGCUCUCUCUCUCUCCCUUCUUUUGAUCGACGAGUGGAAACAUUGUGACCUUCCUGACAUUCUAGUUUUCAGUUUUCCCUCGCAACUUUGUUUUUAAAACAUACUACACCCUCUAGUAUUGUGUCUGGGUGAAAACCGAGACAGAGGAAGAGAUGGCUCAUCUGGUGGCUGUGGUGAUUCUUUAGGGGAAAGAAAGAGCAGAGCAAAAUAGGAGGGAAUUCCUAGCUGUCUGUCUCUCACUGUGAAAAAAAGACAGAGAAAAGUGUCCUGGAAGGUGUAACCACUAAAACUAUUAUGCAAAUGAGGAAAUGAGGAAGGGAGCUGCCACUGUGAGAAAGAUAUACUGUAAACUAGUAUUAUUAUGUAAUAAAAUGGUCAUACUCUAGAUUGUUAUGAUGAGGUUGAAGCUAGGUCAAGUUGUUAUGAUGAGGUUGAGACUAGAUCUAUAUUGUUAUGAGGUUGAGACUAGGUCAGGUUGUUAUGACAAGGUUGAGACUAGGGUCUAGGUUGUUAUGAUGUGGUUGAUACCAGGUCAGGUUGUUAUGAUGAGGUUGAUACUAGGUCAGGUUGUUAUGAUGAGGUUGAGACUAGAUCUAUAUUGUUAUGAGGUUGAGACUAGGUCAGGUUGUUAUGAUGUGGUUGAUACCAGGUCAGGUUGUUAUGAUGAGGUUGAGACUAGGGUCUAGGUUGUUAUGAUGUGGUUGAUACCAGGUCAGGUUGUUAUGAUGAGGUUGAUACUAGGUCAGGUUGUUAUGAUGAGGUUUAUACUAGGUCAGGUUGUGUAACCCAGACAAGCUCUAGAGCCAAAUGAAGUGGCUAGAAAGUACUCUACUUGUACUGAGUUCAGUUAGUGUGUCAGUGACAGAUGGAGUAGAGACAGCUUUAGAUUAGAUCCCAAAAAUAAAACCAGACCUUAUUUAGUCUUACUUGAGCUAUUGUUAGAUAUAGUGGUGGUAGCCUGAUAGUGGUAGCAAAGACCAGAAAUGAACAGAUUAAAUACCUAACAUUAGAAACAAUAUUGAAUCUAUAGAAAAAAGAGAUAAGAAAACAAUAACUGACCAAAAGCUUCUGUUACUGAUC
RNAcentral lists this long non-coding RNA (1906 nucleotides) under Salmo salar (Atlantic salmon). Its description in RNAcentral is "lncRNA (ENSSSAG00000093967.1)". Lineage: Eukaryota; Metazoa; Chordata; Actinopteri; Salmoniformes; Salmonidae. The record is from RNAcentral.